Ornithodoros turicata is the source of this 357-nucleotide long non-coding RNA. RefSeq lists it as uncharacterized. NCBI's taxonomy places the organism in Eukaryota, Metazoa, Arthropoda, Arachnida, Ixodida, Argasidae. The transcript has 3 exons. The record is from RefSeq and is a predicted model, not a curated record.
CCACGUCAUUUUCACAAACCGCGUUCGUUGGCAAACUUUAGCCUAGCUUUAUUAUGCAAAGCACUAGGGCACAGAUGUCGCCACGUCUCGCCGUCCUCAUGGUCGUUCUGCUUGUCAACCACCGUUUCACCACUGUACAAGGCUUUCACCAGGAAGAACCUGCAUGCGGUCCUAUAGAUGACGAGCUGAUAACGAGAAGUUGCCCAGGCUUGCCGGGUCAAUGCGAUUAUUACUGCAGGCACAGUUAUCUUGGGAAGUAUCGAUACGGUAAAUGCGCUGGACUCGGAUAUAAUCUUUGCAACUGCUGCUCCUAGCAAAAUCACUUUGUUUCCGAACAUAUUGGCCACAUUGCCGUUG